UAUAUGUCUCGCAUCUGACGGUC
This 23-nucleotide microRNA is filed under the name Tribolium castaneum (red flour beetle). Its description in RNAcentral is "tca-miR-3805a-3p". Lineage: Eukaryota; Metazoa; Arthropoda; Insecta; Coleoptera; Tenebrionidae. The record is from miRBase by way of RNAcentral.